UGGGGAAUAUUGGACAAUGGGCGCAAGCCUGAUCCAGCAAUGCCGCGUGUGUGAAGAAGGCCUUCGGGUUGUAAAGCACUUUUAUCAGGAGCGAAACGCUGUCGGCUAAUACCCGGCGGAACUGACGGUACCUGAGGAAUAAGCACCGGCUAACUUCGUGCCAGCAGCCGCGGUAAUACGAAGGGUGCAAGCGUUAAUCGGAAUUACUGGGCGUAAAGCGUGCGUAGGCGGUUUCUUAAGUCUGCUGUGAAAUCCCCGGGCUCAACCUGGGAAUGGCAGUGGAUACUGGGAGGCUAGAGUGUGUCAGAGGGUGGUGGAAUUCCCGGUGUAGCGGUGAAAUGCGUAGAGUCGGGAGGAACAUCAGUGGCGAAGGCGGCCACCUGGGACAACACUGACGCUGAGGCACGAAAGCGUGGGGAGCAAACAGGAUUAGAUACCCUGGUAGUCCACGCCCUAAAGCGAUGCGAACUGGAUGUUGGUCUCAACUCGGAGAUCAGUGUCGAAGCUAACGCGUUAAGUUCG
This 522-nucleotide ribosomal RNA is filed under the name uncultured bacterium. Its description in RNAcentral is "partial 16S ribosomal RNA". It matches the Rfam family "Bacterial small subunit ribosomal RNA", at positions 355 to 868 of the family's 1533-position model. The record is from RNAcentral.